CCCCUAGAUGUUCUGGGCCGCACGCGUUCUACACUGAUACGUUCAUCGAGCAUUUUUGUCUUUGACAUCUCCUUGAUCGAAAGAUUUGGGGAAUCUUGGCAAAGCGUAUCGUGCUGGGGAUUGUGGCUUGUAAUUUUUCCACAUGAACGAGGAAUUCCUAGUAAGCGCGAGUCAUCAACUCGCAUUGAUUACGUCCCUGCCCUUUGUACACACCGCCCGUCGCUACUACCGAUUGAAUGGUUUAGUGAGUUCUCUGGAUUUUCUGAUUAGAUCUUCGGGUCUUUUCGGGAGAGAAGGAAAUCAAACUUGGCCAUUUAGAGGAAGUAAAAGUCGUAACA
This 338-nucleotide ribosomal RNA is filed under the name uncultured eukaryote. RNAcentral's name for it is "partial 18S ribosomal RNA". It matches the Rfam family "Eukaryotic small subunit ribosomal RNA", at positions 1470 to 1796 of the family's 1831-position model. The record is from RNAcentral.